AUUACCAUCAGAUGAGAGCUGGAGUUCAGGAUUACCCUCAGAUGAGAGCUGGAGUUCAGGAUUACCCUCAGAUGAGAGCUGGAGUUCAGGAUUACCAUCAUCAGAAAAACAGAGCUGGAGUUCAGGAUUCCCAUGAAGUUGAAGACUACUCAAGUUUUCUGAACUGGCAGGCCCAGGAAGUGAGGUUGGCAGUGAGGGAAUAGGUUGAGAAGGUGGUGGAGAAGUUGAGACAGGAUUUGAGGGAGGAUGUUACUGUGGCUGUUGGUGCGGCAUUAGCCAAAAUUGACCAACCUCAGUCCAUAGAAUCUGCUAUAGAAUUCCCUGAAGUCAACGAAAAAGAAGAUCUGAA
Eurytemora carolleeae is the source of this 349-nucleotide long non-coding RNA. RefSeq lists it as uncharacterized. The record is from RefSeq and is a predicted model, not a curated record. Lineage: Eukaryota; Metazoa; Arthropoda; Copepoda; Calanoida; Temoridae. The transcript has 3 exons.